Etheostoma spectabile (orangethroat darter) is the source of this 131-nucleotide long non-coding RNA. RefSeq lists it as uncharacterized. NCBI's taxonomy places the organism in Eukaryota, Metazoa, Chordata, Actinopteri, Perciformes, Percidae. The record is from RefSeq and is a predicted model, not a curated record. The transcript is spliced from 3 exons.
CUGAAAUAGGGGUAAUGAGACAAUUUUUAAAAUGUAAGGAGUAGAAAAUACAGAUAAUUGCGUGAAAAUCUAAGGCGUAGAAGUAAAAAGUCUGCUGUUAAAUUAUUACUCCAGUAAAGUACAUGUAAGGA